This 429-nucleotide ribosomal RNA is filed under the name uncultured bacterium. RNAcentral describes it as "bacterial SSU rRNA". It matches the Rfam family "Bacterial small subunit ribosomal RNA", at positions 96 to 524 of the family's 1533-position model. The record is from RNAcentral.
UGGCGCACGGGUGCGUAACGCGUAUACAAUCUGCCCAUAACAGGAGGAUAGCCCAGAGAAAUCUGGAUUAAUACUGCAUAAUACAUUAAAGUCGCAUGGCUUAAAUGUUAAAGAUUUAUUGGUUAUGGAUGAGUAUGCGUCCCAUUAGUUAGUAGGUAAGGUAACGGCUUACCUAGACGAUGAUGGGUAGGGGUUCUGAGAGGAAGGUCCCCCACACUGGUACUGAGAUACGGACCAGACUCCUACGGGAGGCAGCAGUAGGGAAUAUUGGGCAAUGGACGAGAGUCUGACCCAGCCAUGCCGCGUGCAGGAAGACAGCCCUAGGGUUGUAAACUGCUUUUAUAUGUGAAGAACAAGUGCUUUGCGAAGCGCCUUGACUGUAGCAUACGAAUAAGCACCGGCUAACUCCGUGCCAGCAGCCGCGGUAAU